This 171-nucleotide non-coding RNA is filed under the name Brevibacillus choshinensis. Its description in RNAcentral is "GlcN6P sequence". It matches the Rfam family "glmS glucosamine-6-phosphate activated ribozyme aptamer". From Rfam's summary of the family: This entry contains a glucosamine-6-phosphate activated ribozyme that is found in the mRNA for GlmS. The record is from RNAcentral. Lineage: Bacteria; Bacillati; Bacillota; Bacilli; Caryophanales; Paenibacillaceae.
ACUUGUUGUAAAGCGCCAGCACUGUGGCUGACCGGAAAAAGGCCCAGUGGACGAGGUGGAGGUUUAUCGAAGAUUUCGGCGGAUACCUCCCGGCAGCAGUAUCACUACCGUGGAGCGCAGGUACAAAAUAUCAGAGAAAUCUGGUGGACAAAAACUUGCGCAUGAUACGAU